GUUAAAGCAGGAGCUGGAGAGCCACAGAGACACCACCCUCAUGUCCUGCUCCUAGUGUGGAAACAGAAAGGGAGGCUGGGACAGAUUUGGGACAGGACAGGGAGCAGGUCCUCAUCCAGGACAAGAUAGUGCAGCUGCCCUGCAGACAGCAAAGCUCUACCAGGCCAAGGCUUCUUCUUAGGAGGAAGGUGCUCAUGUCCUCACAACAGUCCUGCCUUUCAAACUGGUGUUUUAACACUUCUUUUCCUAUAUAUGAACUAGUAACCAUAUUAACCUACAGGACCUGAGUAAUUUGAUGUCAAAGCAGCAGCACAGGCUGCAGAAAACUCUGCCCAUGCCCUGCUGCAGUCAGUCCUCCAAGCCUGCAUGGUGCCUGCAAGCCUGGCCAGCAGUGCUUGAUGAACCUGCCCUCUUCCUUUGCCCUUGACAAUGUGCCAGAGAACAGAAGAGCUGCUAAGGAAACAAAUGUUGCCUGUGAAUGACAUGGGUUUCUUGGCAUCCGUCUGACAAUUGUGGCACUCAUGGCCAGAACUCACCAGAAUCAGGAAUUCCUCCUUCCUCCAUGUCACUCUGCUGUUUCCCAAAGAAAAAGAAUACAGAUGUCUGAACAAGGAAAUCCAAGCUAGAGACCUGUACAGGCUGUUAUGAUGUGGGAACUGGGGGAAAAGGGCUCUGUAAGUACUGGUACCAUGGGCUGCAGCAUUCCCUGCUAGCAGCAGUAGGCUCCAACAGGCUGCACUCACCACCAGCCCACCUACCCUGCAGGUUCAGUUCUUUGGAUGCCCUUCCCAUUUCCCAAAAUUGUUAUUGAAUGUGGGAAAAUUUGGAAAGGGUUAAAUCAUGUGGUCUGAAGCAACUGGCAAGAAGGAGAAGAUUUGAGAGUGAACAUGUGAAACCAGGGAGAAGGGGAACAAGCAGCUGCACUGAUGGGAUGAACUCAGCCUCUCCAGGUGUCCCAGGAACACAAACAUGUGCCAGCCAAUGGACAGGCAGUGAAUGUGGAACUCAGAAAUGAGGGAGCAACAGCACAGGCAUAGCUGCUCUCUGGCUUCUUGCUGGGGCUCCAUUGCAUGCCCUUAGUGCAGUUGCGUGUCCCCAUGUUGGUGCAGAAUGGAUGAAGUCCUGGUUAUCCCACAGCUCUGAGAAUCAUGGAUUGCUCCAUCAGACAAAAGAUUUUCCUCCUGCUGGGUCCUUCCUCAAAGAUGGGGCUCUCUUUACCAUCCACUGCUCUUCUGUGUCAGCAAAAACAUGGUCUUCACAUUAAGCAACGCUCUCUUGCUGUAUGUAGAUCAUCUAGAGCAGUCUCCUGUAGAUACCAAGUGAGCAGCAACAAUGAAGAAGAGGUGAAGAGCUGCCAGUGUCCUGAGAAGAUAGAAAAGGAGAAUCCAUUAAGUAAUACCCUGAAACUUCUUUUCUGUGGGCUGAUAAAACACACAUUCACUUACACAAUGCAGACACUGUCAGAGAAGCAGGAAGUCAUGUCCCUGGUGUUGAGCCUGUGCUGUAACUGCAGGGAGCCCAACACCUUGGACGGGGCUCAGGCAGAGAAUCUGUGUCACACCAAAGGAGGGGAAUGGAAACAGCGGGAAACCAUCGGCAACAAAGGAAGGAGAACAAAAACAGGACAGAAGGGAUCAGACAUAGAGCCAAGAACAAGGUAAAAGAACAGACCUGUGGAAAGCUGGAAGGAAAACAAAUAAACCAAGUAUGCAUGCACUUGGUUCCUGGAGAAUGGCUUUAUGGAAAGACAUCUCAGGAUUCAUGAACUCAUUCUUCCAUAUCUGGAUGGAUUUUCACACCAAAAACCAAUACAAAUUCACUGGGGCUUCUUCCUAUAACUCAGAAGUCACGACUGACAGAUACACUAGUUGCAGGUACCUUGGU
This is a long non-coding RNA of Melospiza melodia melodia, 1884 nucleotides long. RefSeq lists it as uncharacterized. The transcript is spliced from 5 exons. Lineage: Eukaryota; Metazoa; Chordata; Aves; Passeriformes; Passerellidae. The record is from RefSeq and is a predicted model, not a curated record.